RNAcentral lists this ribosomal RNA (497 nucleotides) under uncultured bacterium. RNAcentral's name for it is "partial 16S ribosomal RNA". It matches the Rfam family "Bacterial small subunit ribosomal RNA", at positions 28 to 507 of the family's 1533-position model. The record is from RNAcentral.
GAUGAACGCUGGCGGCGUGCCUAAUACAUGCAAGUCGAGCGAACGGACGAGAAGCUUGCUUCUCUGAUGUUAGCGGCGGACGGGUGAGUAACACGUGGAUAACCUACCUAUAAGACUGGGAUAACUUCGGGAAACCGGAGCUAAUACCGGAUAAUAUUUUGAACCGCAUGGUUCAAAAGUGAAAGACGGUCUUGCUGUCACUUAUAGAUGGAUCCGCGCUGCAUUAGCUAGUUGGUCAGGUAACGGCUUACCAAGGCAACGAUGCAUAGCCGACCUGAGAGGGUGAUCGGCCACACUGGAACUGAGACACGGUCCAGACUCCUACGGGAGGCAGCAGUAGGGAAUCUUCCGCAAUGGGCGAAAGCCUGACGGAGCAACGCCGCGUGAGUGAUGAAGGUCUUCGGAUCGUAAAACUCUGUUAUUAGGGAAGAACAUAUGUGUAAGUAACUGUGCACAUCUUGACGGUACCUAAUCAGAAAGCCACGGCUAACUACGUG